AGUGGCUCUGUGAGGAUCAACGAGGCCUGAGGAUGUCACAGUCUGCCUGCUUGGCCACUGUGACUUUGGCAACAUCUGAUUAUAUUUAUUCAUCCAAGAAUUAUGAGCUACUCAAGUGCCAGGUGAUAAGUGGAGACAUCAUGCAGGAGUUCCCAUUCUGGAUUCAAACACUUGGUGAAAAAAGUGGCCUCUGGAGCUUCAUCAGUGUCCCUGUUUGGUCAGCAGCACUCGUAACAGUCGUUGUGGUCAUCAGCAUUUGAACGAGAGCUCAGGGGAAAAACACACGGAUGGAUGAAAACACUGAGUGUGUAAAACACAUUUAAUUUACUCCAUCACACUGUGUUUGACUUUAUGUAAGAUUAUAGAUGUUUAAGAUUUAAUUAUGGUUUUAUUAGUGUGUUAUCACCUGGAAUUAUAAACUGUUCUUUUAGCAUCAAAUGAACCCUUCAUUGCAGGGAGGCUGUGGCUCAGGAGGCAGAGCAGGUCACCUACUAAU
This is a long non-coding RNA of Archocentrus centrarchus (flier cichlid), 496 nucleotides long. RefSeq lists it as uncharacterized. The transcript is spliced from 3 exons. The record is from RefSeq and is a predicted model, not a curated record. NCBI's taxonomy places the organism in Eukaryota, Metazoa, Chordata, Actinopteri, Cichliformes, Cichlidae.